UUUCUCUGGCCCCUGCUGAGGAGCCAUGCCUGGUGGUGGCUGGGAGCAAUGAGUCACCGGCCUGAGAAGGAGUGGCCUGUUAAGAGUCUCAAAGUCUACCUGGGAGUGAAGAAGAAACUCAGGCCACCCACCUGCUGGGGCUUCACAGUGGUGCAUGAGACAGAGAAACAUGAGAAGCAGCAGUGGUACCUCUGCUGUGACACACAGAUGGAGCUCCGGGAGUGGUUCGCUACCUUCCUGUUUGUGCAGGUACCAGGUGCAGAGUGUGGGGUGUGGGGUGGGUCCCUGGAGGCUUCCAUUAUGGAGAAUGGGGACAUUGGUUUCUGUGCUAUUCAACCCACCCCUUGCUUCAAGGAGAUUUUGAGUUGCUUUUAAUUCAUUUGCUAGUUUAUUCAAUAAACCCUUCCUAGCACCUACUGUUAGUCCAG
This 428-nucleotide small RNA is filed under the name Pan troglodytes (chimpanzee). RNAcentral describes it as "retained intron". The record is from RNAcentral. Lineage: Eukaryota; Metazoa; Chordata; Mammalia; Primates; Hominidae.